GAUGAAGAACGUAGCGAAAUGCGAUAAGUAAUGUGAAUUGCAGAAUUCAGUGAACCAUCGAAUCUUUGAACGCACAUUGCGCCCGGCAGUAAUCUGCCGGGCAUGCCUGUCCGGGCGUCAUUUCUGCCCUCGAGCGAGUCCAGCAUCUAGGUGCUGGGCCCGCCCGGCGUUGGGGCACUACGGGAAGCCCUGUGCUGUCCCCCGUAGGCCCCGAAAUGAAGUGGUGGUCCUGCCGCGGCGCCCCCUGCGUAGUAUAACAGCUCGCUUCGGGACCCGGUGGAGGCCUGCCGUCAAACCUUACUCUCUAAGUUUGACCUCGGAUCAGGUAGGGUUACCCGCUGAACUUAAGCAUAUCAAUAAGCGGAGGA
This 368-nucleotide unclassified non-coding RNA is filed under the name soil metagenome. RNAcentral's name for it is "partial contains 5.8S ribosomal RNA, internal transcribed spacer 2, and large subunit ribosomal RNA". The stretch from base 1 to 120 matches the Rfam family "5.8S ribosomal RNA", at positions 35 to 154 of the family's 154-position model. The record is from RNAcentral.